CCUACGGGAGGCAGCAGUGGGGAAUAUUGCACAAUGGGGGAAACCCUGAUGCAGCGACGCCGCGUGAGUGAAGAAGCGUUUCGGCGCGUAAAGCUCUGUCAGCGGGGAAGAAACACGGUUCGCGAGAGCCGUGGACGGUACCCGACCAAGAAGCCCCGGCUAACUACGUGCCAGCAGCCGCGGUAAUACGUAGGGGGCAAGCGUUAUCCGGAUUCACUGGGUGUAAAGGGAGAGUAGGCGGCAAGGUAAGCGAUAUGUGAAAGCCUUAGGCUUAACCUGAGGAUUGCAUAACGAACUAUCUAGCUAGAGUACAGGAGAGGAAGGCGGAAUGCCUGGUGUAGCGGUGAAAUGCGUAGAGAGUAGGAAGAACACCAGUGGCGAAGGCGGCUUUCUGGACUGAAACUGACGCUGAGGCUCGAAAGCGUGGGGAGCGAACAGGAUUAGAUACCCCUGUAGUC
Molecule: ribosomal RNA, 458 nt
Filed under: uncultured bacterium
Lineage: Bacteria
Description: partial 16S ribosomal RNA
Rfam family: Bacterial small subunit ribosomal RNA
Source: RNAcentral